ACAGAGAGUGCGAACGUUGUUCGGAAUUACUGGGCUUAAAGCGCACGUAGGCGGCAUCGUAAGUGUCCGGUGAAAUCCCACGGCUCACCCGUGGAACUGCCUGGCAGACUGCGAUGCUCGAGUAUGGUAGGGGAGAGCGGAACUCCUGGUGGAGCGGUGAAAUGCGUAGAUAUCAGGAGGAACACCGGUGGCGAAGGCGGCUCUCUGGUCCAUGUCUGACGCUGAGGUGCGAAAGCUAGGGGAGCAAACGGGA
RNAcentral lists this ribosomal RNA (253 nucleotides) under uncultured prokaryote. RNAcentral describes it as "partial 16S ribosomal RNA". It matches the Rfam family "Bacterial small subunit ribosomal RNA", at positions 525 to 777 of the family's 1533-position model. The record is from RNAcentral.